Molecule: ribosomal RNA, 432 nt
Filed under: uncultured Alphaproteobacteria bacterium
Lineage: Bacteria; Pseudomonadati; Pseudomonadota; Alphaproteobacteria
Description: bacterial SSU rRNA
Rfam family: Bacterial small subunit ribosomal RNA
Source: RNAcentral
AGAGUUUGAUCCUGGCUCAGAACGAACGCUGGCGGCAGGCCUAACACAUGCAAGUCGAACGAUGCCUUCGGGCAUAGUGGCGCACGGGUGAGUAACACGUGGGAACAUACCUUUUGGUGGGGGAUAACUUCGGGAAACUGAAGCUAAUACCGCAUACGCCCCUUGGGGGAAAGAUUUAUCGCCGAAAGAUUGGCCCGCGUCCGAUUAGCUAGUUGGUGAGGUAAUGGCUCACCAAGGCUCCGAUCGGUAGCUGGUCUGAGAGGAUGACCAGCCACACUGGGACUGAGACACGGCCCAGACUCCUACGGGAGGCAGCAGUGGGGAAUAUUGGACAAUGGGCGCAAGCCUGAUCCAGCCAUGCCGCGUGAGUGAUGAAGGCCUUAGGGUUGUAAAGCUCUUCACCCACGACGAUGAUGACGGUAGUGGAGAGAG